UUUUUUUUUUUUCUUUUUAGGGCCGCCCCCUUGGCAUAUGGAGGUUCCCAGGCUAGGGGGAGAACCGGAGCUAUAGGCCACAGACACAGCCACGCCAGAUCCCAGCCACGUCUGCGACCUACACCACAGCUCACAGCAAUGCCAGAUCCGUCACCCACUGAGUGAGGCCAGGGAUUGAACCCGUGUCCUUAUGGAUACUCGUCAGGUUCAUUACCACUGAGCCACAAUGAGAACUCCUACAAUUGACUUUUUAUUUUAAUUCCAUAUGUAAGUGAUACCAUGUGGUAUCUGCCUUUCUCUGUCUGGCUUAUUUCACUUAGCUUAAUGUCCUUAAGUCCCAUUCAUGUUGUUGUAAAUGUCAGGAGAUCCUUCUCUCAUGUGGCUGAGUAGUAUUCCAUUGUGUGUGUGUGUGUGUGUGUGUGUGUGACAACACAUGUCAGUGUUUCACAACCUCCUUCUCAGUUCAUCCAUUGAUGAACAUGCAGUUGUUUCCAUAUCUUGCCUGUUGUGAAUCAGGCUGCAGUGAACACGAGGGAGCAGAUAUAGGUACUUCUUCCAGACAUGGACUUCAUUCCCUUUGGAUGAAUACCCAGCCGUGGAUGUGCUGGAUCAUACGGUAAUUCUAUUUUUAAUUUUUUGACGAUCCUUCAUACCUCCAUACUGUUUUCUUAGGAAUAAAUUAUUGAUACAUGUAAAAAAGGCAGUUGAAUCUCUGGGAAUUCUGCUGAGUGGAAAAGUCAGCCUCGAAAUACUGCACGAUUAGAUAUGGCAUGAUGCCAUUGAUAUAUAUGUUUGAAAAGACAAAAUUCUAGAAAUGGAAAACAGAUGAGCGAAUGCCAAGAGUGAGGGACUGGGGGAGGGAAGAGGAGGAGCCUGGUGUCUCGAUCAAAGGAUGACAUGAGAAAUUCUUGGGGUGGUAGAAUUGUUCGGUGCCUUGAUUGCGACGGACACAGGAAUCUGCACAUCUCAUAAAAUCAUAUAAAAUUAAAUGCACACAUAUACACACAGAGACACAAAUGAGUUACAAGUACAGCUGGGGAAACGGAACAGAAUCAGUGGAUUAUGUCAACAUCAAUAUCCUGGUGUAAAAUUCCACUAUAGUUUUGUAAGGUAUUGCCACUGGGGGGAAUGAGGCGAACAGUCUUCUUUAUUUUUCUUACAACGGUGUAUGAAUCUGUAAUUUCGUUUCGUCUUUUUAGGGCUGCACCCGAGGCAUAUGGAGGUUCCCAGGCUAGGGGUCCGAUGGGAGCUGCAGCCGCCAGCCUACAUCACAGCCACAGCAACAGGGGAUCCGAGCCAUGUCUGCGACCUACACCACAGCUCACAGCAAUGCUGGAUCCUUAACCCACUGGGCAAGGCCAGGGAUGGAACCUGCGUCCUCAGGGAUGCUAGUCGGGUUUGCUAACCACUGAGCCGCGACAGGAAUUCUGAUUCUAUAAUUAUCUCAAUAAAACUUUGAACUAAAAUCAUCUUAUGAAGAGGCUGUGAUGGUAUGGGAUAAAUUGUUUAUAAUGUAGUCAGAGGCUAUAUAAAAAGUUAAAAUAUUCAUAAAAUUUAUAUAUAGCAUGAGUCUGUGUUUCAAAAAAGGCAAAAAAAAAAGGUAUGUAAAAUUUAAAAGUGAAGGAGAGAUGGGAAGGCCAAAGAAAACCAAAAAAAAAAACAAAAAAACAAAAAACAAAAAACAAAAAAUAAGAAAAAAAAACUGUUAAAAUCUCACUUUCUAAAUUUUCUGUAAUGAGCACAUAAUAUUUCUAUAAUAGAUGAAAGAAAUUUAAGAUGACAUUUUAUUUACUCUUAAUUUGUACUAUGUAUUAGCAUGAUUUGAGACCUAUGUCCUCAGUUAAGGAAACUCAGUCUGAAUGAAAUAUUUAUAGUCUGACUGAAGAAGCAGAACUCUUCAAAUGUUGCAUUUUAAUAAAAAAAAAAUUUCAGGGAGAUGAGAAUGGAGGUGGGGAGGCAUAUUACUACUCUUUCCUGGGUCUUUGGAACUUGUGGCAUAUAGGAAUCACCCACCUUGCUCUUGCUUAAGGCUUCUUAUGCGCCCCCAUGGCGGUUUCCUUUCCACUAAUGCCUUUGGGUGUGGCUUGAAAUUAUUUAACUCUGAAGACUCAGAAUUUCAAAUUGGUCUGCCUGUUCCUAGAGGCAAAAAUUCCUCCACAGUAAGAAGAUUUCUCUGGGGAAAUUUUGAAAGCAAGGAGAGAUGCUAAAGGAGUUUGGAGAAGAUUGUUUUCUGCAUGGAAAGUUCUGAGUGCCAUUAAGUUGUACCCCAAAUUUAGAAAGGCUAGAAAAUAUUUCUGGGAAAAUAUGGUCUCCCAUCAACACAAAGAAUAGAGUUUCAUUUCUGAAUGGAAGAAAACGAUCACCGAAUUACAGUCGUUAGAGGCAGAAGGCUCUUAAGAGACAGGUCACCGAGUUGAACAGUACCAGGUGACCCCAUUCACAUUUAGUCUAUGGACAUGGCUUGGAAGUUGUGCAGUGUACAACUUGCACGACUGUAUUCAUUGAUUCUGCUACAUCCAGUCAUUACCACCACUGUUCCCCCUCCUCCCUCACUACUUUUAGAUAUAAUUCUCUUUUAGAGAGGAGAAAAGUGAAGCCCAGAAAGGGGAAGAAAAUUGUCCAAAAUCACACAGCUAACCACAGAACCCAAGUUCUUGAAUUUUAGGUUAAUAGUCUUUCCUGUCUACAAUACCACCUGGAAGAAAUGUUUUUACUAAAAAAAAAAAUCAUUCUGAAAAAAUUUCUUUCAAAUCUACAUGGCUGUAAACUAACGAGGGCUAUUUUUGUAAUGUCAAAAUAGGAGUCAAAUUGAGUCUGCAGAUUCUAAAGACAAUUUUCUCACGUAUGAAAUUGAGAUAAUAAUAGUUGCCUUUUAUGGUUGGCGGAUAAAUGAGUUAAUAUGUGUAGAACACUUAGAAUAUAGAAAAUAUAUAAGUAUCAGACUUUGUAGGUAAGUGAGAUGUGGACUUUUGGGAGAACAUGCACCUUUCAUUUAUGUGUUCACAUGACCUGGCAUGGUGUCAAGUGCUCUAUUAAUGCUGUUUGAUGACGGAUGGAUGAAUGGAUGGGAAGCUCGAGUGAGGGAUGAAUGCAUGCAUGGGUACAAGGACGCAUGGAUGUAUGGUUGGAUAAAUGGCAUCUCCAUCCUUCCAAGGCAUUCAGGUCAACG
RNAcentral lists this long non-coding RNA (3169 nucleotides) under Sus scrofa (pig). RNAcentral describes it as "lncRNA (ENSSSCG00040035764.1)". Lineage: Eukaryota; Metazoa; Chordata; Mammalia; Artiodactyla; Suidae. The record is from RNAcentral.